UACAGAGGGUGCGAGCGUUGUCCGGAAUCACUGGGCGUAAAGGGCGCGUAGGUGGUGGCUUAAGCGUGCGGUGAAAGCUCGGGCGUCACCCACGAGUCGGCCGUGCGAACUGGGCUCACUGGAGCAUAGUAGAGGCAGGUGGAAUUCCGGGUGUAGCGGUGGAAUGCGUAGAGAUCCGGAAGAACACCGGUGGCGAAGGCGGCCUGCUGGGCAGUAGCUGACACUGAGGCGCGACAGCGUGGGGAGCAAACAGG
This 254-nucleotide ribosomal RNA is filed under the name uncultured bacterium. RNAcentral's name for it is "partial 16S ribosomal RNA". It matches the Rfam family "Bacterial small subunit ribosomal RNA", at positions 524 to 776 of the family's 1533-position model. The record is from RNAcentral.